GGGACGAACGGGCCGGCUAUUUGCCCUGACUUGGGAUAGAUGGAAAAAGGGAAGGCUAUCCGGAUAUUCAGUUCCUGCCGCAUGGUGGGGGUUGGAAAGUUUUUCGGGCAGGACUGAUCCCCGCGGCCUAUCAGCUUGUUGGUGGGGUAAUGGCCUACCAAGGCGACGACGGGUAGCCGGCCUGAGAGGGUGAUCGGCCACACUGGGACUGAGACACGGCCCAGACUCCUACGGGAGGCAGCAGUGGGGAAUAUUGCACAAUGGGCGAAAGCCUGAUGCAGCGACGCCGCGUGGGGGAUGACGGUCUUCGGAUUGUAAACCCCUUUCAGUAGGGACGAAGCGCAAGUGACGGUACCUGCAGAAGAAGCACCGGCCAACUACGUGCCAUCAGCCGCGGUAAUACGUAGGGUGCGAGCGUUGUCCGGAAUUACUGGGCGUAAAGAGCUCGUAGGCGGUUUGUCGCGUCGUCCGUGAAAACUCGGAGCUUAACUCCGAGCUUGCGGGCGAUACGGGCAGACUUGAGUACUACAGGGGAGACUGGAAUUCCUGGUGUAGCGGUGAAAUGCGCAGAUAUCAGGAGGAACACCGGUGGCGAAGGCGGGUCUCUGGGGUGUAACUGACGCUGAGGAGCGAAAGCAUGGGUAGCGAACAGGAUUAGAUACCCCUGGUAGUCCAUGCCCGUAAACGGUGGGCGCUAGGUGUGGGGGUCCUUCCACGGAUUCCCGUGCCGUAGCUAACGCAUUUAAGCCGCCCCGCCUGGGGGAGUUCCGGCCCCCAAGGCCUAA
Molecule: ribosomal RNA, 785 nt
Rfam family: Bacterial small subunit ribosomal RNA